This 406-nucleotide ribosomal RNA is filed under the name uncultured bacterium. RNAcentral describes it as "partial 16S ribosomal RNA". It matches the Rfam family "Bacterial small subunit ribosomal RNA", at positions 30 to 526 of the family's 1533-position model. The record is from RNAcentral.
AUUGAACGCUGGCGGCAGGCCUAACACAUGCAAGUCGAACGAGUGGCGGACGGGUGAGUAAUGUCUGGGAAACUGCCUGAUGUAGGGGGAUAACUACUGGAAACGGUAGCUAAUACCGCAUACCAUCAGAUGUGCCCAGAUGGGAUUAGCGUGUUGGUGGGGGAACGGCUCACCAAGGCGACGCUCCCUAGCUGGUCUGAGAGGAUUACCAGCCACAUUGGAACUGAGACACGGUCCAGACUCCGACGGGAGGCAGCAGUGGGGAAUAUUGCACAAUGGGCGCAAGCCUGAUGCAGCAAUGCCGCGUGUAUGAAGAAGGCCUUCGGGUUGUAAAGUACUUUCAGCGGGGAGGCGUUACCCGCAGAAGAAGCACCGGCUAACUCCGUGCCAGCCGCCGCGGUAAUGC